Molecule: ribosomal RNA, 253 nt
Filed under: uncultured bacterium
Lineage: Bacteria
Description: partial 16S ribosomal RNA
Rfam family: Bacterial small subunit ribosomal RNA
Source: RNAcentral
UACGUAGGGUGCAAGCGUUAUCCGGAAUUAUUGGGCGUAAAGAGCUCGUAGGCGGUUUGUCGCGUCUGCUGUGAAAGACCGGGGCUCAACUCCGGUUCUGCAGUGGGUACGGGCAGACUAGAGUUCGGUAGGGGAGACUGGAAUUCCUGGUGUAGCGGUGAAAUGCGCAGAUAUCAGGAGGAACACCGAUGGCGAAGGCAGGUCUCUGGGCCGAUACUGACGCUGAGGAGCGAAAGCGUGGGGAGCGAACAGG